RNAcentral lists this ribosomal RNA (557 nucleotides) under Calosphaeriales sp. EC4. RNAcentral describes it as "SSU rRNA". It matches the Rfam family "Eukaryotic small subunit ribosomal RNA", at positions 194 to 755 of the family's 1831-position model. The record is from RNAcentral. Lineage: Eukaryota; Fungi; Ascomycota; Sordariomycetes; Calosphaeriales.
GGAAGGGGUGUAUUUAUUAGAUUAAAAACCAAUGCCCUUCGGGGCUAACUGGUGAUUCAUAAUAACUUCUCGAAUCGCAUGGCCUUGCGCUGGCGAUGGUUCAUUCAAAUUUCUGCCCUAUCAACUUUCGACGGCUGGGUCUUGGCCAGCCAUGGUGACAACGGGUAACGGAGGGUUAGGGCUCGACCCCGGAGAAGGAGCCUGAGAAACGGCUACUACAUCCAAGGAAGGCAGCAGGCGCGCAAAUUACCCAAUCCCGACACGGGGAGGUAGUGACAAUAAAUACUGAUACAGGGCUCUUUUGGGUCUUGUAAUUGGAAUGAGUACAAUUUAAAUCCCUUAACGAGGAACAAUUGGAGGGCAAGUCUGGUGCCAGCAGCCGCGGUAAUUCCAGCUCCAAUAGCGUAUAUUAAAGUUGUUGCAGUUAAAAAGCUCGUAGUUGAACCUUGGGCCUGGCUGGCCGGUCCGCCUCACCGCGUGUACUGGUCCGGCCGGGCCUUUCCUUCUGGGGAGCCGCAUGCCCUUCACUGGGCGUGUCGGGGAACCAGGACUUUUAC